GAUGAACGCUGGCGGCGUGCUUAACACAUGCAAGUCGAACGUGAAGACGUAGCAAUAUGUCUGAAAGUGGCGAACGGGUGAGUAACACGUGGGUGACCUACCUCGGAGUGGGGGAUAACCAUGGGAAACUGUGGCUAAUACCGCAUGUGCUAUUAGAUUUGGGUAUCUAAAUAGUAAAGCUUUAGUGCUACGAGAGGGGCCUGCGUCCGAUUAGGUAGUUGGUGAGGUAAUGGCUCACCAAGCCGAUGAUCGGUAGCUGGUCUGAGAGGACGAUCAGCCACACGGGAACUGAGAUACGGUCCCGACUCCUACGGGGGGCAGCAGUGAGGAAUAUUGGGCAAUGGACGCAAGUCUGACCCAGCAACGCCGCGUGGAGGAUGAAGGUUCUUGGAUCGUAAACUCCUUUUGCAGGGGAAAAGCAAGGAUGGUACCCUGAGAAUAAGUCACGGCUAACUACGUGCCAGCAGCCGCGGUAAUACGUAGGUGACAAGCGUUAUCCGGAUUUAUUGGGCGUAAAGCGCACGCAGGCGGCGGCUCAAGUCUGACGUGAAAUCUCUCGGCUUAACCGGGAGCGGUCGUUGGAAGCUGAGUGGCUUGAGGCGAUGAGAGGGGUGUGGAAUUCCCGGUGUAGUGGUGGAAUGCGUAGAUAUCGGGAGGAACAUCAGUGGCGAAAGCGGCACCCUGGCAUUAGCCUGACGCUCAUGUGCGAAAGCGUGGGGAGCGAACGGGAUUAGAUACCCCGGUAGUCCACGCUGUAAACGAUGAAUACUAGGUGUGGGUAGUCUCAAAAUUAUCCGUGCCGAAGCAAACGCGAUAAGUAUUCCGCCUGGGGAGUACGGCCGCAAGGCUA
RNAcentral lists this ribosomal RNA (850 nucleotides) under uncultured bacterium. RNAcentral describes it as "bacterial SSU rRNA". It matches the Rfam family "Bacterial small subunit ribosomal RNA", at positions 28 to 896 of the family's 1533-position model. The record is from RNAcentral.